GAGGAGAGUAGAAAUUACACGUGUAAGCGGUGAAAUGACGUGGAGAUGUGGAGGAACACCAGUGGCGAAGGCUAUUCUAUANNUUAUAACUAACGUUGAGGAGCGAAAGUGUGGGGAGCGAACAGGAUUAGAUACCAUGGUAGUCCACGCCGUAAUCGAUGAGUGCUAAGUGUUAGGGGGUUUCCGCACAUUAGUGCUGCAGCUAACGCAUUAAGCACUCCGCCUGGGGAGUACGGUCGCAAGACUGAAACUCAAAGGAAUUGACGGGGGCCCGCACAAGCGGUGGAGCAUGUGGUUUAAUUCGAAGCAACGAGAAGAACCUUACCAGGUCUUGACAUCCUCUGACAAUCCUAGAGAUAGGACGUCCCCUUCGGGGGCAGAGUGACAGGUGGUGCAUGGUUGUCGUCAGCUCGUGUCGUGAGAUGUUGGGUUAAGUCCCGCAACGAGCGCAACCCUUGAUCUUAGUUGCCAGCAUUCAGUUGGGCACUCUAAGGUGACUGCCGGUGACAAACCGGAGGAAGGUGGGGAUGACGUCAAAUCAUCAUGCCCCUUAUGACCUGGUUUACACACGUGCUACAAUGGACAGAACAAAGGACAGCGAAACCAAGAGGUUAAGCCAAUCACCACAAAUCUGUUAUCAGUUAGGAUCGCAGUGUGCAACUCGAAUGCGUGAAGAAGGAAUCGCUAGUAAUGGCGGAUCAGCAUGCCGCGGUGAAUACGUUCCCACGGUGCGNGUGUUUCACACCGCCCGUCACAACCGAGGAGAGCUUUGUAUCACCNGGAAGUUUAGUUGUAGGNGANGGGAU
RNAcentral lists this ribosomal RNA (806 nucleotides) under Bacillus inaquosorum. RNAcentral describes it as "bacterial SSU rRNA". It matches the Rfam family "Bacterial small subunit ribosomal RNA", at positions 654 to 1452 of the family's 1533-position model. The record is from RNAcentral. Lineage: Bacteria; Bacillati; Bacillota; Bacilli; Caryophanales; Bacillaceae.